Salvia miltiorrhiza (redroot sage) is the source of this 73-nucleotide non-coding RNA. NCBI's taxonomy places the organism in Eukaryota, Viridiplantae, Streptophyta, Magnoliopsida, Lamiales, Lamiaceae. The record is from the annotation of a RefSeq genome assembly.
GCGGUGAUAGCUCAGUUGGUGGAGCAAUAGAUUUUUAAUCUAAUGGUCGCGUGUUCGAUCCACGCUCAUCGCA